GAAAGAUGGCUUUGGCUAUCACUCUGGGAUGGACCUGCGGUGCAUUAGCUAGUUGGUAAGGUAACGGCUUACCAAGGCGAUGAUGCAUAGCCGAGUUGAGAGACUGAUCGGCCACAAUGGAACUGAGACACGGUCCAUACUCCUACGGGAGGCAGCAGUAGGGAAUCUUCCACAAUGGGCGCAAGCCUGAUGGAGCAACACCGCGUGAGUGAAGAAGGGUUUCGGCUCGUAAAGCUCUGUUGUUGGAGAAGAACGUGCGUGAGAGUAACUGUUCACGCAGUGACGGUAUCCAACCAGAAAGUCACGGCUAACUACGUGCCAGCAGCCGCGGUAAUACGUAGGUGGCAAGCGUUAUCCGGAUUUAUUGGGCGUAAAGCGAGCGCAGGCGGUUGCUUAGGUCUGAUGUGAAAGCCUUCGGCUUAACCGAAGAAGUGCAUCGGAAACCGGGCGACUUGAGUGCAGAAGAGGACAGUGGAACUCCAUGUGUAGCGGUGGAAUGCGUAGAUAUAUGGAAGAACACCAGUGGCGAAGGCGGCUGUCUGGUCUGCAACUGACGCUGAGGCUCGAAAGCAUGGAUAGCGAACAGGAUUAGAUACCCUGGUAGUCCAUGCCGUAAACGAUGAGUGCUAGGUGUUGGAGGGUUUCCGCCCUUCA
RNAcentral lists this ribosomal RNA (654 nucleotides) under uncultured bacterium. RNAcentral's name for it is "bacterial SSU rRNA". It matches the Rfam family "Bacterial small subunit ribosomal RNA", at positions 202 to 842 of the family's 1533-position model. The record is from RNAcentral.